CCUAACCCUAGGGUUUCUCUAUAAAUACGGAUCCCUCUCCCUUGCCCUUGGUCAUUUUGCAUUCCCACCCCUAUUGUUUUUCCAGCCGCCAUCAGCCUUCUUCUCCCCCACGCCUUCUUCUCUCCCUGGCUUUCUCCUCCACGCGCAGCAGCAGGGAGUCGUGCUCCCCUCCAUGGCGAGCAGCAAGUCGGCGCCCUCUCCGUUUUCCCCUGCUCCUUCCGGCUCCAAGCUGAACGCCGGCCGAGCUCCCCUUCCGGUCACCGCUCCUCCCUGCGAGCUCCCUGUUCCUGUCUUCCUCACGGCUGCGCGCAGGAGCUCCUCCCAGGGCCGCCGAGCUCCAUGUCCAUGGCGUGGAGCAGCAGCUCCCAUUCCCCUGCGAACCUCCCUGUCCAUGGCCACAAAUCCUUUCGCCCUUCUCUGCGCAGCGCCCCUGCUGUGUUUCUCCCAGCGAGCUCUCUGCUCUCGGCCGCUGGCAGCCAUGGCGCCCAGAAAAAUCCCACAGCCGAACUCCCCCAGCUGAGCCCCCAAGCAGCGCCCUCCCUGCUCCAUAGCUCAAGCCCGAGCUCACCCCCUGACGCUUGGAUCCCUGGAACGCAGCAGCUCUGCCCUCUCUCCCAUGGUUGUCCAGCCCCUUACUCCAAGGGCGUGAGCGCGCAGGGAUCUGCUCGACGCCGCAGCGCCCAGCCAUGGUGGCUGUAGGCCGAGCCCCUUUCCCGUGGACAGCCCCAACCUCCUCCUCUCUUCCCCACAAAACAGCAGACCCUAUGCCGAUCUUGUGUCGUCUCGCUGCCACCGCUGCGCGCAUGCCAAGUGUUCGGCAUAAUGUCGAGGGAGAUGUGUUGUUACAGCACGCCGUGAUGCCGCCGUGUGUUCGCUGUUUUUGCGCAACCCCCUCCGCGACGCCGUCAAAACCCGUGCUAGCCGUCAAUGCCAUCCGUCGCGCACGCGUGUUCGAUGCGAGGCCGGUCGGGUGAACCACAUGCAUGCACAACUCAAAUCUGAUCCCGUUCAGGUUGAUUGAUUUAUAGUUUACCAUACGUAUGAUUUGGUUGAUGUCAUGCAGUGCACGUAUAUGUGUGGAUGUGUGUAAAAUGUUUUGGUUAUACGCAUUAGUAGAUUCGCAUUUGCGGUUGGAGAACAAGAAGUCGUUUGCUGUGUGCGAUUUGUAGUUUGUCUAAAUACGUUUUGGUCGAUGUGGUGUGUAUUGGUGUUUGAAUAUAUGUGGCUGCGAUGAUUCAUUUAUGUGU
Zea mays is the source of this 1247-nucleotide long non-coding RNA. RefSeq lists it as uncharacterized. The transcript is spliced from 2 exons. Lineage: Eukaryota; Viridiplantae; Streptophyta; Magnoliopsida; Poales; Poaceae. The record is from RefSeq and is a predicted model, not a curated record.